CUACGGGAUUAUCCUGGUUACAUUAAUUAUGGGGUGAAGAUGUCCCCUCCCCUUGUACUGACACUUAAGAAGAGGAUAAUGUUUGACUGUGGGUCUCUGAUGCAGUUGCUGGAUGAAGCCUCUGAUGAUUACUGGGCUAAGCAUCAGUCUAUGAGUAUAGCAGACUAUCUUUAGGCAUCAUUACAUUGACAUUUUUAUCUCUAGUCAUAUUUGGUUGUAAGUUAGGUCUCUGGGCCAUCCAGUCUCUGACUCCCUGGUGCUUCAGACAGUGUCAGGUGUGGGCUCAACCCUCUGGCAUAGGUCUCAAGCUGGAUCAGUCAUUUGUUGGGCACUCCCACAGUCUCUGAGCCACUCUUACACAGAACCCCAUGUAGACAAGACAGACUCUAUGUAAAUCAAAGGUUGUGUGACUGGUUGGUGAUCCAAUCCCUCCUAUGGAAGUCUUGACACUGAUGGGUUGGUUAUUAACCCAAUUGUCAUCAGAGAGCCUUCAUCUAGUUUUGGAUAAAAACACAUGCCAAGACUCAAAGCCAAACUUUAGAUCAAGGUGGGAAAUCCUGAAGAAGAGGGUGAGAAAAGACUUAAGAACCAGAGGGUCCACAGAAUCAACUAACCUGGGUUCAUAAGAGCUCACAGAGAAUGAACCAAAAAAUGAAGACACCUGCACAGGACUUACCUAAUCUCUAUGCAUAUAUGUGACAGCUGUGUAGGUUGGUUUGUUUAAGGAAAUCCUAACCGUGGAGCAGGGGCUGUCUCUGACUCUUUUACUGGCUUUUGGAACCCCAUUUGUCCUACUGUUUGCCUUGCACAGCCUUAAUACAAGACUAAAUAAAGAAGUAGCUCUAUUUGUCAACCAGUGCUUAAGAUAUUGUAGUUCCAGCCAAAGUUUCACAAAAGUCGUUAAGAUGAGUAAAACUGAUGAAUACAAGAAGAUUGCACUGCCUAAUUGAAGCACUGGUGCCGUGAGGAAGAUAAAGAAUACAGAGCAGGGCUGCAAGCGAAUCUACAAGCAAAACACAGGAGCAACUUGUCAGCAGUGAGGGCACAUUUUAUCGACAGCUGUGUCCAAUAAGGAUGUGCUUCUGCACGAAAGGAUGACAUGUUGAAAUAUAUUUAUCAGCUCUUUCACUCAUGAGUGGAAUACAUAUAAGAUAUAUCACCAGAUGUUGGCAACAGGUCACU
This is a long non-coding RNA of Mesocricetus auratus (golden hamster), 1182 nucleotides long. RefSeq lists it as uncharacterized. The transcript is spliced from 4 exons. Lineage: Eukaryota; Metazoa; Chordata; Mammalia; Rodentia; Cricetidae. The record is from RefSeq and is a predicted model, not a curated record.